This 386-nucleotide long non-coding RNA is filed under the name Heterocephalus glaber (naked mole-rat). Its description in RNAcentral is "lncRNA (ENSHGLG00100046366.1)". Lineage: Eukaryota; Metazoa; Chordata; Mammalia; Rodentia; Bathyergidae. The record is from RNAcentral.
GAACAUGGCUUACUGAUCUGAUGAAACUAGCACCCCUUCUGAUCCUAGGGCAUCUCGUCUCAGGCCAAAACAAAUCAGUGGCUGCCUCAGGAUGGCUGGGAGGCGCAGGAAGUAGAGAUUGCAAAGGAGUGUUACAAGGAAACUUGGAGGUAUCAGGGAUUGAACUCAGGACCUUGCACUUGUGAGAGAGCAAUACUGAGGCCCAGAGAAGGGAAGAGACUGUCAGUAGAGUGUCAUUGGGCUGAAUCCACACAAAACAAGCAUGUGGGACAGCGAGCUGAGGGUGUCCAGGGCUUUUCUAAUGCCUGAGGAUCACUUUUGAGCUGCCAGGACCAGAACUUCAGAAGGUGCCCCAUUCCUGCUACCUACCGUCUACUGCUAGGAGG